CUCUGUACAGUUGCAGUAUGGUAACCAAUGAGGUUUUUCCAAGGUGUGAUUAUUGCUAAUUAAAACUUUUCCCAGUACCCCACCAUGACAACUUGAAAUAUAAUAUGCAUUGACAAUUUCUGAGAGUCUCUAUGGAGA
Molecule: small nuclear RNA, 138 nt
Filed under: Octodon degus (degu)
Lineage: Eukaryota; Metazoa; Chordata; Mammalia; Rodentia; Octodontidae
Description: U4 spliceosomal RNA (ENSODEG00000025771.1)
Rfam family: U4 spliceosomal RNA
About the family: U4 small nuclear RNA (U4 snRNA) is a component of the major U2-dependent spliceosome. The structure of U4 snRNA from yeast and human has been reported.
Source: RNAcentral